UCCCUGGUGGCUCAGAUGGUAAAGCGUCUGUCUAAAAUGUGGUAGACCCGGGUUCGAUUCCUGGGUUGGGAA
This 72-nucleotide transfer RNA is filed under the name Bos taurus (domestic cattle). It matches the Rfam family "tRNA". From Rfam's summary of the family: Transfer RNA (tRNA) molecules are approximately 80 nucleotides in length. Their secondary structure includes four short double-helical elements and three loops (D, anti-codon, and T loops). RNAcentral also lists the same sequence under 4 other names. Lineage: Eukaryota; Metazoa; Chordata; Mammalia; Artiodactyla; Bovidae. The record is from Rfam by way of RNAcentral.